This 818-nucleotide ribosomal RNA is filed under the name Microbacterium barkeri. Its description in RNAcentral is "bacterial SSU rRNA". It matches the Rfam family "Bacterial small subunit ribosomal RNA", at positions 73 to 902 of the family's 1533-position model. The record is from RNAcentral. Lineage: Bacteria; Bacillati; Actinomycetota; Actinomycetes; Micrococcales; Microbacteriaceae.
GCCCAGCUUGCUGGGUGGAUUAGUGGCGAACGGGUGAGUAACACGUGAGCAACCUGCCCCUGACUCUGGGAUAACAGCCGGAAACGGUUGCUAAUACCGGAUAUGCAUCAUGGCCGCAUGGUCUGUGGUGGGAAAGAUUUUUCGGUUGGGGAUGGGCUCGCGGCCUAUCAGCUUGUUGGUGAGGUAGUGGCUCACCAAGGCGUCGACGGGUAGCCGGCCUGAGAGGGUGACCGGCCACACUGGGACUGAGACACGGCCCAGACUCCUACGGGAGGCAGCAGUGGGGAAUAUUGCACAAUGGGCGGAAGCCUGAUGCAGCAACGCCGCGUGAGGGAUGACGGCCUUCGGGUUGUAAACCUCUUUUAGCAGGGAAGAAGCGAAAGUGACGGUACCUGCAGAAAAAGCGCCGGCUAACUACGUGCCAGCAGCCGCGGUAAUACGUAGGGCGCAAGCGUUAUCCGGAAUUAUUGGGCGUAAAGAGCUCGUAGGCGGUUUGUCGCGUCUGCUGUGAAAACCCGAGGCUCAACCUCGGGCCUGCAGUGGGUACGGGCAGACUAGAGUGCGGUAGGGGAGAUUGGAAUUCCUGGUGUAGCGGUGGAAUGCGCAGAUAUCAGGAGGAACACCGAUGGCGAAGGCAGAUCUCUGGGCCGUUACUGACGCUGAGGAGCGAAAGGGUGGGGAGCAAACAGGCUUAGAUACCCUGGUAGUCCACCCCGUAAACGUUGGGAACUAGUUGUGGGGGCCUUUCCACGGUCUCCGUGACGCAGCUAACGCAUUAAGUUCCCCGCCUGGGGAGUACGGCCGCAAGGCUAAAACUC